RNAcentral lists this ribosomal RNA (880 nucleotides) under Halomonas sp. Its description in RNAcentral is "bacterial SSU rRNA". It matches the Rfam family "Bacterial small subunit ribosomal RNA", at positions 117 to 994 of the family's 1533-position model. Lineage: Bacteria; Pseudomonadati; Pseudomonadota; Gammaproteobacteria; Oceanospirillales; Halomonadaceae. The record is from RNAcentral.
AUAGGAAUCUGCCCGGUAGUGGGGGAUAACCUGGGGAAACUCAGGCUAAUACCGCAUACGUCCUACGGGAGAAAGCAGGGGACCUUCGGGCCUUGCGCUAUCGGAUGAGCCUAUGUCGGAUUAGCUGGUUGGUGAGGUAACGGCUCACCAAGGCGACGAUCCGUAGCUGGUCUGAGAGGAUGAUCAGCCACAUCGGGACUGAGACACGGCCCGAACUCCUACGGGAGGCAGCAGUGGGGAAUAUUGGACAAUGGGCGCAAGCCUGAUCCAGCCAUGCCGCGUGUGUGAAGAAGGCCCUCGGGUUGUAAAGCACUUUCAGUGGGGAAGAAAUCCUCGUGGUCAAUACCCGCGAGGGAGGACAUCACCCACAGAAGAAGCACCGGCUAACUCCGUGCCAGCAGCCGCGGUAAUACGGAGGGUGCGAGCGUUAAUCGGAAUUACUGGGCGUAAAGCGCGCGUAGGCGGCGUGAUAAGCCGGUUGUGAAAGCCCCGGGCUCAACCUGGGAACGGCAUCCGGAACUGUCAGGCUAGAGUGCAGGAGAGGAAGGUAGAAUUCCCGGUGUAGCGGUGAAAUGCGUAGAGAUCGGGAGGAAUACCAGUGGCGAAGGCGGCCUUCUGGACUGACACUGACGCUGAGGUGCGAAAGCGUGGGUAGCAAACAGGAUUAGAUACCCUGGUAGUCCACGCCGUAAACGAUGUCGACUAGCCGUUGGGGUCCUUGAGACCUUUGUGGCGCAGUUAACGCGANANGUCGACCGCCUGGGGAGUACGGCCGCAAGGUUAAAACUCAAAUGAAUUGACGGGGGCCGCACAAGCGGUGGAGCAUGUGGUUNAAUUCGAUGCAACGCGAAGAACCUUACCUACCCUUGACAUCCUCGGA